AUGAACGCUGGCGGCGUGCCUAAUACAUGCAAGUCGAGCGAACAGAUGAGGAGCUUGCUCCUCUGACGUUAGCGGCGGACGGGUGAGUAACACGUGGAUAACCUACCUAUAAGACUGGGAUAACUUCGGGAAACCGGAGCUAAUACCGGAUAAUAUAUUGAACCGCAUGGUUCAAUAGUGAAAGACGGUUUUGCUGUCACUUAUAGAUGGAUCCGCGCCGCAUUAGCUAGUUGAUAAGGUAACGGCUUACCAAGGCAACGAUGCGUAGCCGACCUGAGAGGGUGAUCGGCCACACUGGAACUGAGACACGGUCCAGACUCCUACGGGAGGCAGCAGUAGGGAAUCUUCCGCAAUGGGCGAAAGCCUGACGGAGCAACGCCGCGUGAGUGAUGAAGGUCUUCGGAUCGUAAAACUCUGUUAUUAGGGAAGAACAAAUGUGUAAGUAACUAUGCACGUCUUGACGGUACCUAAUCAGAAAGCCACGGCUAACUACGUG
RNAcentral lists this ribosomal RNA (496 nucleotides) under uncultured bacterium. RNAcentral describes it as "partial 16S ribosomal RNA". It matches the Rfam family "Bacterial small subunit ribosomal RNA", at positions 29 to 507 of the family's 1533-position model. The record is from RNAcentral.